Molecule: ribosomal RNA, 495 nt
Filed under: uncultured bacterium
Lineage: Bacteria
Description: partial 16S ribosomal RNA
Rfam family: Bacterial small subunit ribosomal RNA
Source: RNAcentral
GACGAACGCUGGCGGCGUGCCUAAUACAUGCAAGUAGAACGCUGAAGGAGGAGCUUGCUUCUCUGGAUGAGUUGCGAACGGGUGAGUAACGCGUAGGUAACCUGCCUGGUAGCGGGGGAUAACUAUUGGAAACGAUAGCUAAUACCGCAUAAGAGUAGAUGUCGCAUGACAUUUGCUUAAAAGGUGCAAUUGCAUCACUACCAGAUGGACCUGCGUUGUAUUAGCUAGUUGGUGAGGUAACGGCUCACCAAGGCAACGAUACAUAGCCGACCUGAGAGGGUGAUCGGCCGCACUGGGACUGAGACACGGCCCAGACUCCUACGGGAGGCAGCAGUAGGGAAUCUUCGGCAAUGGACGGAAGUCUGACCGAGCAACGCCGCGUGAGUGAAGAAGGUUUUCGGAUCGUAAAGCUCUGUUGUAAGAGAAGAACGAGUGUGAGAGUGGAAAGUUCACACUGUGACGGUAUCUUACCAGAAAGGGACGGCUAACUACGUG